GACGAACGCUGGCGGCGUGCUUAAUACAUGCAAGUCGAACGGACAGGCCCUGCUCUUGUGGCGUGCUCGAUAGGCGAACGGGGGAGUAACACGCGUGUAUCCCGCCCUUGUCUUUGGGAUAACUCUAGGAAACUGGGGCGAAAAUCGCAGAGGAUCUUUUGCUCCGCGUUGGGGGAUGGAAAGUUUCGGUGGUGGGGGAUGGACUCGCUGGUUAUCAGCUGGUUUGUGGGGUAGGUGCGUACCAAGCCUAUGACGGCUAGGCGGCCUGGGAGGGUGACCGGCGACAAGAGGCCUAAGAGACGGCGCAGAAUCCAACGGGAGGCAGCAGGGGGGAGUAUUGCACAGUAGGCGGACGCCUGAUGCGGCAACGCCGCGUGCGGGAUAACGGCCUACGGGUUAUAAACCGCUGUCGACUGUAACGAGGAGUGAGUGACGGUAAUGGGUCAGAAAGCAACGGCUAACUACGUG
RNAcentral lists this ribosomal RNA (468 nucleotides) under uncultured bacterium. RNAcentral describes it as "partial 16S ribosomal RNA". It matches the Rfam family "Bacterial small subunit ribosomal RNA", at positions 28 to 507 of the family's 1533-position model. The record is from RNAcentral.